This is a long non-coding RNA of Phacochoerus africanus (Common warthog), 962 nucleotides long. RefSeq lists it as uncharacterized. Lineage: Eukaryota; Metazoa; Chordata; Mammalia; Artiodactyla; Suidae. The record is from RefSeq and is a predicted model, not a curated record. The transcript is spliced from 2 exons.
GUCAUGAAAGGCCACGAUCACAGGGCCCGACUCGUCGGCAGAGCCCCGUCCACGGUGGCUGGUGUUCUUGCUGCUCAUUUCAUUGGAGGCACCGCAGUCUCUACAGAGUCAAGUGAGGAGCUAACCCAGAGCCGGGCGGGGCUCCCAGGCCCUGGAUUCCUGCAGACCCAAGUCCAGGCAAUGACUCCUUUGGAAUGACAUUCCUUGGGUCCAUGGAGCGUGUUUGAGGCGUGGACUGCAUUUGCCAGUGACCCGGGCUGGGGAGCAGAGCACAGCGAAGACCCAGGAAGCUUCCCCGGAUGACAAAUACGUGCUGCCAGUGGACACGAGCCCACCGCCACCCCCUCCUCCUGCCCCGAAGGCUGGACACUCAUCCAAAGGAUUCCAGCGACGCUGUCGGUAACGAGAGCCCCAAGAUGUCCUCUCUGGGCGGAGGCGUCACGGGUUCUGCCUUCCCAGAAAAGCACCUUUGCUCCAGGGGGAGCUCGCCCUGGGACCGAGGAAGACGGGCCGUGUCCAGUUAUGGAUUCUUGGAAUCAAAAACAAAGCUGAUGUGUCCUGAGCUUCGGAGUAUGUGGCAGCCACUUUUCUGAGGACCCUUUUCAUCCUUACAACAGCCCCGAUGGAGGUCCUAUUAUUAUCUCCAUUUUACAGACGAGAAAACAAAGUUCAAAGAAGCAAAGUGACUUGCCUGAACAUCCCAGGGCUGCAGCAGCAGAAUCCAGGUUGACAGCGAAGUGGGGAAGGUUCAGCCUGAAAGGAGGCCCCAGUCAGGCUCCGUCGCUCACUCCCGUUACCGCCUCGGCAUCCACUGGGGCGAACCACCCCUCCAGCCUCACUGUCCCACCGAACCCUGUGGAAGCCUCUUCUUCCCAGACCCCACCCCAGCGGGAACAUUUUGUGACUUAGCUGAUGAAAACACACCAAUGCUUUUCAAAUAUUACUUUAGAUUUUCGAACUCA